Molecule: unclassified non-coding RNA, 220 nt
Filed under: Hevea brasiliensis (rubber tree)
Lineage: Eukaryota; Viridiplantae; Streptophyta; Magnoliopsida; Malpighiales; Euphorbiaceae
Source: RNAcentral
UUUAAAGAGGGGACCAUAUGUCAUUGCAUAUUAGAGACCUUCCUUUUUGUCUUUGGUUUACUUCUGUCAACUUGUAAUCCCUGUGAAGCAUCUAUGCAUAGACGAAAAUUAGAACAAUAUAUAUGGGGUGGUUGCAAACCAUAGUGUUUGCCUAUUGGGGGUUUGACUCCUUUUUCAUGCCAACUAAUGGCCAAACAAGGAAUUACUUUCUCUUUGGAGG